AAGUGCACCGAGCGCUUCAGGGGCAUACUAAUUCGCCUGAUGUGUAUUAGCUCCCCAUGUCUGCCAUUCAACACAAUGACAGUAAUUCGGAAGAAAGGUGAAAACAAGUCUAAGCCUGAUUGCUGACACCCAGUCGGCACAGAAACUGAUAUUUAACUCAAGUUCUGUGCUAGGUGAGAUUUAGGACCAGGACCAAACGUCUGCAGCAUGAACAGCAUGCUUCCAGAUACUUGAACGACGGCUUGCAGUUUAUGAAAUGAACUUGCAACUUGUUUUACAGUGAGUAUCGGCACCUACAGCUUCGAGGAUUUGAUCGUCUCGUCAAAAAAACAGAUGCAAAAAUCUCGAAACAAGAGGAACUUUCUUUCUUCCCGUUUCUCCCUGCAGAAGUGUCUUAUUCAGGUUUCAGUCUCAAACAUGUUUGUUUCUAGUGCAGAGUCCAAUUCCCACACAUCGUUGAUAUUCACCCUUGAAAGCAAAUAGUUCAAGGAAACGUUUGGGCCCUCUGAGAAAUGGCUUACUUACUGACUUACCCUUCAUUCCAAGAGGCGGCAUCAUGACUCAGAAAAACACCCUGUCACUGGUUGCUCCGUGCGCCUUGUACGGGAUUCAGCACCUCUCCUAGACUUUUUGUCAUGCCUGCAGUAGGGGCCAUUAUAAACCUGAUUUAUUCGGCAUGCUGCUGUGAGCACACCCAUCUGUGAGCUGACUGUAAAACUGAUUCAUGCAAAGGAUCAAUUUCCUUUUGAUGGUUCUAUUUGUCUGUAUUCCUGCACGCUACGAAUAAGUGUUGCAAGAAAUGUGAAAUGAGAUCUCAUUUUCCGCAUGGAUCCAUCAUAUGCUACAUGCCUUGGCAUGAUAUAGUAUCGUUAUUGUACAUCAGCCGUCUAAUUUUAGCUACGUCUCGCUACCGAAAUACAAAUUGCAUCUUCUGCUUCAUUGCGUCGGUGUCUCACUUCCAACCGCAGACCUAUUUUCAAUACUUUUUUAUUUGUUUAGUGUCAUCUUUUGUAAUAAAAUAUUCAUCGUGUUGUAUGAGGAGAUAUCUAUGCAUGAGCAGCGGAGAACCAAGCAAACAAGCUUUAAAGGACCAGACUAAGACAGGAUUCUUCAUUCAAGUCCCAUUCGCUGCUAUCUUAGUGUAUUAGCAUCCUUCAAAUGCAGGCUGUAUCUCGACUUUUGUCUUCUGUCUCUCCCCAUCUUUCCUCCCCCGGUGCCAGCUCACAGCCCACAUGUAAUACCGAGGAAGAAGGAGAAAAAAAAAAAAACUAAGACCAAGAUGUCUGGUUUAUUUUCACUCUCAGAAACAUGACAGAUGAAAAAUAGAGGGAGAGAGAAAACAUUCUAGGCAGUGGCGACAGCUUUGAAACCUUGGAGAGCCCGCUGCAACCAAUCUCGGCUUCACAGGCACGCGGCGGUGCACUGUGGGAAGUCGGGCGGCGCGCUGCGUUUCAGGAGGGGAGAGAGGGAGAGAAUGAGGGAAAAUGGCAGCAAAUGAAGUUGGCGGGCUGCGGAGUAUUGUUCCCCCCUGCUCGCGGUAAUGAACAGGCCUUCGGAACAGACUGGGGAAAUUGGUCCCCGGUGGGCCCUGAGCCUUUCUCAUCUGUCAGUGAGAAGGAGCGAGAGAGAGACAACUCGAGUGACGGAGUGGCUGCGUCCAGGGUAGGAGCCAGACACUGCAGAGAAAUCACACUUGUUUAGGCUCCACAACAUCCCGGCGGCUAUAGUCUCCGACAGAGGACCUGAAGUCACCUCCCGAGUAUGGAAGGAGUUCUGCACAAUGCUGGGUGCUAAGGUGGAGUUGUGGGCAGUGCCCUGGCCUGAUGUUCCACCUUUUUGAGCAGAGCUGCCCUACUUUCUGAUCCAGCCUGCACACCUGCUUCCCAUUUACUCAUCACUCCUCUGGAUAAAAGGCCAGCUGAAACCUCGACUCUUUGCCAGAUUGCUGUCAUCGUUGUGGUGGUACUCAGACUCUCUACCUAACUUGGUUGGUAGAAAACACUUGUUUUGCAAGUGCUUACUGUUACUUGACCUUGUUCUCUUAUCUCUGCUUCUAGUUUUUCUUUGGCUGGAUUAACGUUUGUCUGCAAACUAGAGAAAUUCCUGAAGUUGGAUUACUUGCAGACCAAAAUCUGGCAAUCCCCCAUCGAUGCCCACCCUGGAAAACUUACCUUCCUACUCUCAACUGCUUCAGUCAUCCAGAAAAAAAACCCAUACCUACUUUAUACUUACCCAUAUCUAAACAAUCCUUGCUUUUGUCAAUAAGAAUAAAACUUGCAUUAGUCUUUUGGGUCUUGCUGUUUAGUUUACUCUUUCUGGUGAUUUUGACAGUUUGUUGUUUCCACCUUUAACAGGUACAGCUUUCUGACAUAUUUUGCAAAGUGUUGUUCUUUGUUGGGAGUCUGACCCUUUGUACCUCCCUUUUUACACAGUAAGUCAUCAGAGGCCAUCACAGUGCUCUCCCUCUCAGACAUGUUUGUGCUUGUCUCAUUCAUGUGUAUGCUACGGGAUAUAAUGAUGUCAUUGAAUGACACUGUUUUAUUACGGGGAAAAAAAUUAGUGUAAUCAGAGGUAGCACUGUGGAUGUAUGGCACAGCCCUGAUGUCCCUGUUUAUAUUAGACUUUUUUUGGUCCAGUGUGCACUUUGCAGUUGCACUUUGCUCUCUGCAUUCUAUCCAAACAGCAAGUAUACAUUAAAACAUCAGCAACAUCAUAAUGAAUAGAAAGACUUAAGGAAUGGGAUAGCACUAUAGUGCUAUCUUUGUAAUCAAUAAUCAAGUGCAUAUGAGGAAAUUGCUAUAUAAUGGGGAUAUUGUCUGAGUGGGGAAAAUCACUAAAAAUCUGUAAAACCAACAGCGUAUUUAGUUAUGGUCUAUAGUUUUAUUGAUCCUCUCUGUGUGAGUUGCUGAAUGAUCCUGGAUCAUCCCCAAAGGUCCACUUCUGUAUAAUUUAAAUUCAUACAGCGUCCACCAAUGACAUGCCCUGUCAUGCGAGAUGGUGAGUUGCUCUGAGAGUUAAUAUUCCCUAUUGGAAUCCCCAAUGUCCAGUCCCACAGUCUAUACUGACUCAAUAUGCGAGAAGCACAAUUACAGCAUAAAAUGCUUAGUCAUUUGAGAUCUUCAAGGAUUCCUGAAAAUAACACUGUUUUGAUGUGUCGGACUUUGAGCACACACGGGUGGCUGUUUUAUGAGGGCCAGGAGAUGAAAGACAAAGAGGUCUGAAUGUGUGAUAGGAAGGCAGGGCAGCGAUUCCCUUUCAGGUUUGUUUCAGGCCACCUGCUGGGUCCUCCAAACAAAGCCCCACAUGGCAGAUCAAAGCACGUCACCAUCACUUUGUUUUGUUGAGGUUUCAUACAAUUAGCAGUUUAUUUAUGGGCGAGGAAUCCAUGUGGCAAUAUUAGCAGCUAACUGACUUGAGCCAGUGUCAGAAGUCCUUUUGUAUGAGGCAGCUGCGUAUUCAUUAAACACUGAUUACUGGGUAAGUAAACCAAAUCACAACGUGAAAAAGCUUUUAGGUUUUAUUCUCAUAUUGCGUUGGUCAUCUUUAGAAAUAUGUAACUAGGUUUCUAAAGGACAACCUGUUUAAAUCUUACAAUAAAUAUGGUAUCUGUAUAAAAAUUGGACAAAGCAAGAGUUUUCCAAGAGCUCUAUCCAUUUGUCUUCUGGUUCUCUUGGAUUGCUUUAAGGCUUUACAACCUUAACUGAGUGAAUAAAUAGCCGUCACACUCCCCAAAUAGUGUGAUCGCCUGUCACAGCCCUUCACAUCCAUUUGCUUUAUUGGACGUGGCUCACGCCUCCAGAUAUUUAUAUCUUUUUACAGUCAUGUACUGUAGUGGCUAACAAAAAAAGAACAGAGGAAGGAAAGCAGUGAAGGAGAAAGAGGAGACAGGAAGGCUAGGCAGGCAGCUAGACAAGUAAUGGUGUGAAAUAAAGAGGAGGGAUGUGUGGAGCUUUGGCUGGGGACAGCCUCCAGAUCCAUCUUGCCCUGCUUAAAACCCUAGCGCCUGGGUAAUGGCUGCGCGGCAGGUGCUUUCAGAGGUUACGGCACAGGAGAUGAGGGAUCUAGGAGUAGGGAGGCCAAACUGAGAGGUGAUUUCCACAGCAGAGGCCUCUUCAUUUUGGGGGGAGAGGAGAUGUCGGCAUUGCUGCUGCUGCUGGAGCCUGGAGGGAAAACAAGCAAAUUGCUCCCCACAGGAACAGGGCACCGGCAACAAACUGCAUCUGAGAUGAUAUAAGAUGUUACCUGUUCCAUGGCCCUCUGUUGUUUUCAUGUAUCUCUGCACACAUGAAACAUUAAUUUGAUCCAUAGAUGGUUGUAUCUACUCUUUUCUUAACCAUCCAUUUAUCCAUACAUGCAUGCGCUAUGAAGGAAAAAAUAGAUCUCCAACUGGUGUAUAUAAUACACACACAAAAAAAGAUAUAUAGUUGUAUACAAAACCAACUGCAUCCCACAGCACCAACUUAUUUAAUGAGGUGACCGUGUUGACUAGAAUAGAUGGAGUCCCAGGCACAUGGUAAAUGAUACAGCCGUGUGUGUGUGUGUGUGUGUGUGUGUGUGUGUGUGUGUGUGUAAUUCCUCUUCUGGUUUUUGUGUGAAAAAUCACUGAUUCCUUUGCUUUAGGUCAAAAGGCAGUUGUUUCAAGCAUACAAGCCAACCUUUACAGAACGUCUGUGGUGUGGCAUGACAAAGGCAUUGGUUCUACAUUUAAAUCAAAGGUUGUAUACUGGAAGAAGACAAGGUCUGCCAUUAAAGCUGUCAUCUUGCAUUGUGAACAAAGCAGGUAAACCUCUGUGAGCAGAACAAAUGCAACACUGGAUUCGCCCCUGCUUCCCUGAUAGGAGGACGUACUGCUGCUGCAAAGCUGUUAAGUCCACUCAAGGUUUAUCCCUUUCAGUGGUAAAUAAUAUCUUCAGCUUCUCAGCAGCAAGAACCCCUUGCUGAAUGUCGCUCAAUACUUGAGUGAGAUUCAGUGCAUUUACCUGAAUCAGCUCUAGCCAUCUUGCAUUUGUUAAAGGCUCUUUGGCACCCCCCGAGUAUGGUUGAAGGUAAUUGAAUUGAGCUCAUUCUUUGUGCUGAUUUCUUAUGUUAGCGAAAGGGACUUGGGGAGGAAAGGCAUUCUCAGAAUGAGGCUUUUUUUUUUUAAUUAAUGCAAAGGCUAUUCAUGAAAGGGAUUAUGAAAGUCAUAUGCAAAGCUGAAAGGGGAGAGAAAAAGGCAGCAGGAGGCACUAGGAUCAUAUUUUCUGUAGAGAUCUGUAGCCUGUCCAUGAGUUUCAUGCUCCCUCACUGCUAUGGGGAAGAAUGUUUUCCCCUGAUACGAGCAUUUAUCCGGUUUUAGACUUAAGCUUGCUACUGUUAUAAUAACCUCUUUUAAAUCUGCUCUAAAUUGUUUCUCAAUGAAACAGGCAGAACCAAAGCCGUAACAAUCAUGUCUUUUUUUUUUCACUUUAAUGAAAAAUGUCGUCAAUGAGUAGAAGAAGAAACAAGAAAUGACAUGAAGAAAUUUUUUGCUGUUUUGAAUUCUCUGUUUAUUAACAUGGAGAUGCAACAGCUGUGUGUGAGUACUACUGUUUACAGUUACUGCACCAUAGUGUCCUUUUGAAUGUGGUUACUUUACUGCUCAGUGACCUGCAGAGCCGAGUAAAGCAGAGGAGCUGGAAAAGGGAGUUGGCAUGGUGAUGAUUUUCGCUGUCCAUUUCCUCACUACAUUAGAUGUCAAAGGGGCACAAAAGAUCUUCCUAUCAGUCCUAACAGCCUGUUCUUUUGCCCAAGGCGUCAAAUGCUGCCCGUCACUGACAUCUCACAGUAGACACAAGGUGUCUAGUGGAGGUAUCUGUGUUGUGGCUCACCGCAUUAUGGAAGAAGUAACAGAGGUCUGUCAAUCCUACAGAUAUACAUAUAGAAUCCAAAUUAGGAAUUAAGAAAUAUGUAAAGUUAAGAUUUUUUGGUGGGCAGACAAGCACCACCUAGUUCAGCUGACUGCCUCUCAUCACAUUAGCCGCUGGUGGGAAUUUAAAACUGAAAUCUGUGUAGCUCACACAGAGCCCAGCUCAAAGUUCUGAACCUUCAGCCAUCUUUAAUUGAUGUCGAUGUACCAGAGGGGCAUUUGUGGAUUAAAUGAGUCCACUGAAAACGAGAAUUAGAAUUCUAAACUGUGAAACCCAGUGUAAGAAUCAGCAAAACACUUGUGAGCCUUGGGCCUCUCUUAAAUGUGUGAAAUGAAUAUUAUAUAAAGGCAUAAAAUAUCCCUAUUAGAGCAAUAUGAAAUUGAAUUGCUAAUAGAGACAGUAAUAGAUUUAAAGAGUCACCAGGGAGAUCCAUGUUUUCUGUGACAUGUGUGGAAAUGCACCAGAACACAGAGCAGAAGUCUUUAAUAGCAAUACUGACGGCUUCUACUAAUUCAGUAGAAUUUUAGUUAAAAAAAAAAAA
Long non-coding RNA from Oreochromis niloticus (Nile tilapia), 6426 nucleotides. RefSeq lists it as uncharacterized. NCBI's taxonomy places the organism in Eukaryota, Metazoa, Chordata, Actinopteri, Cichliformes, Cichlidae. The transcript is spliced from 4 exons. The record is from RefSeq and is a predicted model, not a curated record.